GCCAGUGUGGCAUAGUGGUUUGAGCACUGGACUGUGACUCUGGAAACCAGGGUUCAAUUCUCAGCUUGGCCA
Phrynosoma platyrhinos (Desert horned lizard) is the source of this 72-nucleotide non-coding RNA. The record is from the annotation of a GenBank genome assembly. Lineage: Eukaryota; Metazoa; Chordata; Lepidosauria; Squamata; Phrynosomatidae.